This 431-nucleotide ribosomal RNA is filed under the name uncultured soil bacterium. RNAcentral describes it as "bacterial SSU rRNA". It matches the Rfam family "Bacterial small subunit ribosomal RNA", at positions 383 to 810 of the family's 1533-position model. The record is from RNAcentral.
GUGACCGAGCGACGCCGCGUGUGGGAUGAAGGCUUUCGGGUCGUAAACCACUGUCAGUAGGGAAGAAUGCCCGGAUGGUGAAUCCGGGAGGGACGGUACCUGCAGAGGAAGCCACGGCUAACUCCGUGCCAGCAGCCGCGGUAAUACGGAGGUGGCAAGCGUUGUUCGGAAUUACUGGGCGUAAAGAGCACGUAGGCGGUCUGGUAAGUCUGCUGUGAAAUCCCCCGGCUCAACCGGGGAACUGCAGUUGAUACUGCUGGGCUAGAGUGCGGGAGGGGAGAGCGGAAUUCCUGGUGGAGCGGUGAUAUGCGUAGAUAUCAGGAGGAACGCCGGAGGCGAAAGCGGCUCUCUGGUCCGCAACUGACGCUGAGGUGCGAAAGCUAGGGGAGCGAACAGGAUUAGAUACCCUGGUAGUCCUAGCCGUAAACGAU